GGCCAGACUCCUACGGGAGGCAGCAGUGGGGGAUAUUGCACAAUGGGGGGAACCCUGAUGCAGCAACGCCGCGUGAGUGAAGAAGUAUUUCGGUAUGUAAAGCUCUAUCAGCAGGGAAGAAGAUGACGGUACCUGAUUAAGAAGCCCCGGCUAACUACGUGCCAGCAGCCGCGGUAAUACGUAGGGGGCAAGCGUUAUCCGGAUUUACUGGGUGUAAAGGGAGCGUAGACGGCAUAGCAAGUCUGAAGUGAAAGCCCAAGGCUCAACCAUGGGACUGCUUUGGAAACUGUUAAGCUAGGGUGCUGGAGAGGUAAGCGGAAUUCCUAGUGUAGCGGUGAAAUGCGUAGAUAUUAGGAAGAACACCAGUGGCGAAGGCGGCUUACUGGACAGUAACUGACGUUGAGGCUCGAAAGCGUGGGGAGCAAACAGGAUUAGAUACCCGGGUAC
This 447-nucleotide ribosomal RNA is filed under the name uncultured bacterium. RNAcentral's name for it is "partial 16S ribosomal RNA". It matches the Rfam family "Bacterial small subunit ribosomal RNA", at positions 329 to 793 of the family's 1533-position model. The record is from RNAcentral.